Molecule: ribosomal RNA, 301 nt
Filed under: uncultured bacterium
Lineage: Bacteria
Description: partial 16S ribosomal RNA
Rfam family: Bacterial small subunit ribosomal RNA
Source: RNAcentral
CAGUAGCCGCGGUAAUACGAAGGGUGCAAGCGUUACUCGGAAUUACUGGGCGUAAAGCGUGCGUAGGUGGUGGUUUAAGUCCGUUGUGAAAGCCCUGGGCUCAACCUGGGAAUUGCAGUGGAUACUGGGUCACUAGAGUGUGGUAGAGGAUAGUGGAAUUUCCGGUGUAGCAGUGAAAUGCGUAGAGAUCGGAAGGAACAUCUGUGGCGAAGGCGACUAUCUGGGCCAACACUGACACUGAGGCACGAAAGCGUGGGGAGCAAACAGGAUUAGAUACCCCUGUAGUCCCUGUUUCUUAUAC